Molecule: ribosomal RNA, 390 nt
Filed under: uncultured bacterium
Lineage: Bacteria
Description: bacterial SSU rRNA
Rfam family: Bacterial small subunit ribosomal RNA
Source: RNAcentral
GACGAACGCUGGCGGCGUGCUUAACACAUGCAAGUCGAGCGGUAAGGCCCUUUCGGGGGUACACGAGCGGCGAACGGGUGAGUAACACGUGGGUGACCUGCCCUCAGCUCUGGGAUAAGCCUGGGAAACUGGGUCUAAUACUGGAUAUGACUCCACGGUGCAUGUCGUGGGGUGGAAAGCCUUGUGCGGCUGAGGAUGGGCCCGCGGCCUAUCAGCUUGUUGGUGGGGUGANGGCCUACCAAGGCGACGACGGGUAGCCGGCCUGAGAGGGCGACCGGCCACACUGGGACCGAGACACGGCCCAGACUCCUACGGGAGGCAGCAGUGGGGAAUCUUGCGCAAUGGGCGAAAGCCUGACGCAGCGACGCCGCGUGAGGGAUGACGGCCUGG